GUUCCGUUUUCAAUGUCUUGAUUUUCUAAAGUAUCUACAAGCUUCUUGAGAUACAUAGAUGAGGUUUGGGAAUUAGUAAGAAGGAAAGGUGACCAGAGAAGAAGUCUGAGACACCCACAAGGGCUUCCAAGUUGUCAAAACAUCACAAGGACAAAGGCUUGAGAAACAAGGCUUCCUUUGACACUUGCAAUUUGAAGGGAUAAAAUAUGGUCCCUAGAGUCUCUUUAUGCUGAAUUAGGAUAUUGUUUAAUUACACUGGCCAUAAAUGAUGUGGGGACAGUCAGUGAGAUUUUAAAUACUACAAUUAAAGGAAAGAGGCUGAAUAUGUAAUUGCACUCUUGUGGGGAAGCAAAUUCUGAAUUCUGCCAGCAGGAAGCUCCUCUCUUCAAUAGAUCUUGAAGGGAAGAUUCCAUCACGGAUCCCAUUACUUCAAUCAGACAAUUAUCUCUCAAGAACUGAAAGAGGAAUCCUCUUUUUUUGUUAUUUUUUUUCCUUUUCUUGGUGUAUGCGAGCAUGUAUGUGAUCUUUUUCUCCAACAAUACAUAGUAUUUCAACCAUGAGUAGAGUGGUUGAUUUAAUCCUGUUUUCCAAAGGAUUAAAUAAAUCAUAUUUGCUAGUUGAGUGCCUGCUAGGGGUCCCUACAUUCUCUUUAAAGUCUACUUCAGGUAAUGAGGCUUUCUUAGAGGACCACCAGCCCACGGAACAUCUUCCCCUUUCUAGAAUUCCACUGGGGCACAGUAUCUGAAGCCCACUCUUAUGCUUGAUAUUUCUGUUCUCUCGUCCUUUCCUGUGUGGGGAUCACAUGUCCUCUUCUAGUCCAGGCUUUCUGGCAAUUCUUAAAGGGCUUCUGGUAAGACCUAAACUGGUCUAAUAUUGAAGGAAUUGAUACGGUUAUUUGCUAUUUAUGCAUGUGAAUUAUGAGCAUUAACAAAAAGCCAUCAUCUCCCAAUAUCCCCCUCAAGAUGAAUCAAUAAUUAAUAAUUGGUCUUUGUGGCUUUUCUGGCCGCCUCUUAGAAUUUGUGCACUUGAGCUGUUUAUCGAAGGAGGCUGUAACCAAAGACCAGAAGCUUAAGCUGGCUUGUAAAAAGAGCCAAGAAAUUUGGGGACCUUCUACUCCCAUGGAACCUAAGCUUGGGGACUGCACGGCCCAGUCAAAUUUUUUAGAAUGAUAAAAUAUGGAGCUGAAUUUGCUAAGUUAGCAAAUUAAAAUUAAGACAAAAGUAAAUACAAUGACAAAAUGAAAAU
Molecule: non-coding RNA, 1245 nt
Organism: Macaca mulatta (Rhesus monkey)
Lineage: Eukaryota; Metazoa; Chordata; Mammalia; Primates; Cercopithecidae
Source: RefSeq, a predicted model, not a curated record